GCGGCAACAGCUCAAAUUUGAAAUCUGGCCCUCGGGUCCGAGUUGUAAUUUGUAGAGGAUGCUUUUGGUACGGUGCCUUCCGAGUUCCCUGGAACGGGACGCCAUAGAGGGUGAGAGCCCCGUCUGGUUGGACACCAAGCCUCUGUAAAGCUCCUUCGACGAGUCGAGUAGUUUGGGAAUGCUGCUCUAAAUGGGAGGUAUAUGUCUUCUAAAGCUAAAUACCGGCCAGAGACCGAUAGCGCACAAGUAGAGUGAUCGAAAGAUGAAAAGCACUUUGAAAAGAGGGUUAAAUAGUACGUGAAAUUGUUGAAAGGGAAGCGCUUGUGACCAGACUUGAGCCCGGUUAAUCAUCCAGCCUUCUGGCUGGUGCACUUGGCCGGCUCAGGCCAGCAUCAGUUCGGCGUGGGGGAUAAAGGUUUCGGGAAUGUGGCUCCUCCGGGAGUGUUAUAGCCCGUUGCGUAAUACCCUGUACUGGACUGAGGUUCGCGCAUCUGCAAGGAUGCUGGCGUAAUGGUCAUCAGCGACCCGUCUUGAAACACGGACCAAGGAGUCGUCCUCGUAUGCGAGUGUUCGGGUGUCAAACCCCUACGCGUAAUGAAAGUGAACGCAGGUGAGAGCUUCGGCGCAUCAUCGACCGAUCCUGAUGUUCUCGGACGGAUUUGAGUAAGAGCAUACGGGGCCGGACCCGAAAGAAGGUGAACUAUGCCUGUAUAGGGUGAAGCCAGAGGAAACUCUGGUGGAGGCUCGCAGCGGUUCUGACGUGCAAAUCGAUCGUCAAAUAU
Molecule: ribosomal RNA, 782 nt
Filed under: Cosmospora fomiticola
Lineage: Eukaryota; Fungi; Ascomycota; Sordariomycetes; Hypocreales; Nectriaceae
Description: eukaryotic LSU rRNA
Rfam family: Eukaryotic large subunit ribosomal RNA
Source: RNAcentral